UCCUGGACUCCUAGUCCCACCUCUCUUGCUUCCCUAUUGGCCAACAGUGCUUUAUUGACAUCUAUACAGUGCUUCCCCCAUCACUUUCCCAUUUCUUGCUUGAUGUUUCCGCCUUUUAUGGUAGUCUGGCUUUAACCAGUCUGACUAUUCUGAGGUACAGAUGCAGAUGGGAACUACUGAAGUGCUCCUGCUUGUCUCUUUCACCUCAAGACAGUCAGUCAACAUUUCACAGGUCUAAGACUCUGGGGGGGGGGAGGUGGAGAGCCUCAUGGACCCACACAAAUCUAAUGCUUAGAACAAUUAAAAUACGUGUGGUGCAUUGAGCUUGGCCUUAUGCUUUUAUUAAAUUGACCACGAUGGAGCAAUCCAAACAACGCUGCACAAAGGACACACGUGACCAAGUCCUAUAACGUUUAAUGUACUUGACCCUGAUACGUGGCUCUGUCUUUCCUUUAGUCUUCCUCGGGAAGUAAAGAUGAUGCUCACUUAACCUAGGAGAAACAGAGUAGCCAAGACUUUGCAUGGAGAGCUCAUGGUACUCCACCCAUCUUUGGACAUGGUGGUAUCUCAUUUAUGAUAACAAAUGAAGCUUGCCUGAAGAUCAGAGUGCAGAGCUAGACACACUAGUCAUCCAUAGAGUCCAGGCGGUGUUGGCACACACCUUUAACCCCACCAUUUCGGUAGGUUGUUUCUAGAAACAGCCUUGUAGAAAUGUUAAGGUACACAAGGAAUAUUUGCAUAAGGAAAGCUGCAGACCCGGCAGAUAAACCUUCAAGGGUUAAGGAAUAUUCCACACAUCUGAACUCCAGAGGGGAAGUCCCACAAACCCUAAACACCAUGCUUGGAUCCACACAGCCCAGCCUCCCACACCCCAGUAACUGCCCUGUUCAUUUCUGCCGGUAGCUGCCUCUGCUGUCUUAGCAUAAACCUUGCCCUCAUUGACAGUUCACGAAGAGCCCAAGAUGAACUUACAGAAGCCCAUUAGGUGAGGGGCUGACUGCUUAAGGUGUGGAGAAAAGAGAACACUCACCCAGAUUUUUUUCUUCCCUUCUGUUGAGAAAACUUGGCAAACACUCAGAAAGAACACUGUGAGUGUCGCUGCCCUCUAGUGGCUAGUGAAGCUCCCACCGUUGCAGGGAAGUUCAGUCACUGCCUGGAUCUCUAUAGAGCUACCUGCUCAUUCUUGGAUAUAACUUAAUCUCGUGGCACUCUCAAAGAUCUCGCUGAGGGUUCCUCAUUUCCGAGUUGAAGAUAAGUGUCAGAUUCUCAAGACAGAGCAAAACAGUUCCAUGAGUAAUUCAUUAAGUGACAGGAAGUCCCAGAUACAGGAUUUAAGACUAGGGCUAAUUGUGUUAGUUUAAUUAAACGAGCUAUGUGAACCUUGUAAGAUGAAUUCAGCCUGUGCUCACUCUGUUAGCAUCUACACAUAGGCUUUCAAACCUGUUCCAUGUUGCCCUACCCUCUCACACCCCUACCCUGCUGUCCAUUUUCAAUGGCUUAGGAUACACACACAGCACUUUGGGUGAGGAAUCAUGAAAUACCCCUAGCAGACAAUGAUGGUAUAAAGGCCACAUCCCAAAGACACAGAGAAGAGAACAAAGACAUGGGAAAGAGACUAUAUGUACACAGGAAAGGACUGUGAUCCUAGAAAUUGAUUAGGGUUAAUGUUUGAAAAUGAUCUAGGAAACUGUCAAAAUUGCUGGUUGGGCUGGGAGGGACCUUUGGGUAUCAAGACAAAUUGAUCUUGUCAGGAAGUACCCUGACAUGCUGUAAUACAUUGCCUUGAUAGGAGAGAUCUCUGUUUACUAUAUGAAGGACCAUCUGUCCUCUUCUUUUGUCAGAAUGCCUGGACUGAGGAAUCACAGAGCCUAAUAGCUAAUUACAUCUGAUUAUUCUGAAGGUUACCACUAAUGCGUAAUACACAUUUAAUAAAAUGCCCUUAUGUGUGAUAAUUCAAAUUUCAUUUAAAAUGAGAGCUAGAAAACCAUCAGAUGUCCAAGGGCAAAGCUGAACAGUCAUGAUUUCUCCUGCAAAAACGAAAAUGUGUGUAGCGUUUUAUUUGACCACUGAUAUAAGCCUUUAUGUGUUUUUCUCAUUGUAUUUAUUAUUCAGUGGCAUUGUGUUAAGGACAACAGCAUAAAUGUUAGUCUUCUACAAAUAAAGCUGAAUAGCCAGCUGAGACGCGUGAACAUAGACCAUAGAACAGUGGUUCUCAACCUCUGGGUCGUGACCCCAUUGGGAGGUUCAUAUAUCAGAUAUCCUGCAUAUCAGAUAUCAUAACAAUAGCAAAUUCACAGUCAUGAAGUGGCAAUGAAAAUAAUUUUACGGUUGGGGGGGUCACCACCACAUGAGGGACUGUAUGAAAGGGUUGUAAUAUUAGGAAGGUUGAGAACCGUUGUCUUAGAAAAUAAUUCCACCAGAUGUGGCCUUUCUUCUCAGGGUCUGAGCUAGUAAAAUACCAGGUAUAUUUCCUUAUUUUUCAUUUUUGCCUCUCCACCGUGCUGUUUGCCCAGAGUAGGAAAUAUUGUUUUUAAUGUUAGAAAAUGCUAUUUGAUGCAUGGAAACAUUCCAAUGAGUUCCAUUUCCAUCUGCAAAGUUUUCUUUUCCCCUGACUUAGCACUCAGCCAUUCACCAGGGGAAGGAAGCCUGUUGUUUCUCAAUUUUCAGAGCUGCACAGGUAAUUGCUACAUUUACGAUGUCAGUUGCAUGAGGUAUCUUGGCUCCCAAUUGACUGAUUGGGGAGUCCAGGUCCCAAAUUCUGCAGACUUAAUUCUGAGGUUUGCAUAGAAGUACUGAUGGUACUUUUUCUGAGGGAAAGGGUGUUGUUUCUAUUUACCUGUGGUAGAGAAACACCAUAAGAAGGGUUUAAAGAAUUGGAAGCCUAGACAAACCGACAAGGAUUCAACAGCAUUUCUGAAGUGGGGCACGAACUCAGUAAAUUGUGUCUGUACAAGGACUGCCAAUACUCAUCUGCAGUAUAAGGAUCAGUGGGAUUGUGGAUCCGACAUCUGCUCCAGUGUCCUUGAUUAAAAAACAAAACAAAACAUGAAAAUGGCAUUAGUGGCGCCUAAAACACAGGCAAAGAAGGCAAAACUUAACUAUAAAAGCUGAGGCAAUGGUAAGGAUAGGUCAUCUGCUCUCAGUAAUUCUCAGUGUGCUGUGUGAAUGUUACGAGCUUGAGUUUUGGUAUGCCAAACACAUGUUCCCGGAACCAAUUUUACCCAUUUCAAAAAAAGAUUCACAGUGACUACUUUUCCGGACUCCAUUUCCUGGUCCUUUGGACUGGAGGUCUUGAGCACCACCUCUUUGACUCUGCACUUCCCUGGAGCUAACUCAUCUGCCACCUCCUCCAGCAAGUGUCCUUCUAUCGCCCCUUGUGAACAGCAUCCGUGCUCUCAGCGUCUGAGUGUUACAAUGUUGCCAGUGGUUCUCUGCUGCUCCUCCACUCCACAAGUACAAGGGACUGGACAAGCACAAGGGACUCGGAGAUUGUCCGUUAAUAGUUUCUGCCAGUGCCACUGCCGCACGAGGAGCUCUUAAGUAAUGGCUUAUCCAUCCCUACCAUCAAGUUUGUCCUCUUCCACCAAGCCUGGGUGGCUUUCAUCGUCCCAGACUGGAAAGGAAGCUCCACGGGAAGAAGGUGUACUUACCAGUCAAGACAAUUAGAGAAGUGCUGGAAGAAAGAGAACCAGCACAAGUUUAGCCCCAGAAAGUGUCAUCUACACAAUGAUUCAAUUACAACUGGACACACUGCUGAGCUACACAGAUUUGUCUAUGCCCGUUCUGAUGUUCCUGUUGGGAAUGCCAACCACCAACCUCCUUCUCCCUCAUUGUUUUUGACUUCAGAAAAAUAUUACCAGGACUUAUUUCAACUUUCAUCUCAUUUGUAAAACCUUUCGUAGUUUCCCUUCUGGCAGAAUAAAUAGCACAGUGUCAUGUUCCUCUCUACCUUGUAGUUCUCUUGAUCUCAGAACACGGGAAGUGCACUGAGCGUGAUGCAGUCUCCACCAAGACUGAAUCUUGCAAUGCUAAAUUAAAGGUGUUCCUACUGCUGUAUUCUUCACACCUGGUGUUAGCCAGAUGCUGUUGAUCAUAUAGCUGCUUUGCUUAGAUCUUCCAAUGUAGGGGUAAGGCCCACAAAACUCUUCAUACCCCUAAGGGCAGAGAUAAGGAAAUUAGCACAGAUGAAGAUUAAAGGAAGCAAAAAAAAAAAAAAAAGGAAGCUCUCUUUGGAAACAUGCCAUGAUUCUGAUUCCAAGCUUGUGUGAUAAUUCUUUCUUUCUCUGGUGAAUAAAUAUAUUGUAUUCCCUAUUGCAUUGACCUUCAUCUUUAUCCCAAGAUUUGGUCUUCAUUCUGGGCUUGGAUGCAGAAUCAUUGUAGGUGAAACUUAGAGAAAGGUAAAGGGGAUGACUAGGACAGAAGAUGGACAGUGGGCGAGCCUUCUGGAGCUGUCCCCCAAACACCAAAGAGCAUCUUACAAAGAGGAAUUUGACUGACUUUGAAUCUUGAGCUCAGAAGUUUCUGCCGUUGACCUUGGAGGCAUUGAUUUCUCCCCCGUGGUGAGUCAGAACAUCACAGAGUCUGGAGACUGUGGCAGAAGCCACACAGCUCAUGUGGACAGAGAGAAGAAGACAUGAAAGGAAGGUGCUGCCCCAGAGUGAAAUUCACCCUUGAAGAGCAUGUUCUCGAUGACACAGUUCUCUGCAUGACGUUUCCAGAAUUUCCCAAAAUAGUGUCACCAACUCCAGUCCAAACCUGCAUCCCAUGCCCAGACAUUGGCUAGAAGAGUGUGUACACACAUGUGGAGGCCAGAGAGAUCAACCCUAGGAAUUGGUUCUCCCAAGUUUUCAAUCUUCUGGAGACAGCAAUUAUCACUGGCCUGUAGUUCAAGACAGCCGAACUGGAUGGCUAGAGGGCCCUGGAACCUGCUUGUCUCCAAUGACUCACCACCAUGGUCUAGAAUUACAAACACGUGAUUCUGCUUCCAGCAGUCCAUGUGGGACCUAGAAAUUAAACUGAAUCUCCAUGGGUCUACGACAAGCUCAUUGUCAACGGCUUCAUCCUGUCAGGUGCCAAGUGACCAGUGCUCUAUGAACCCCAAAUCACUCUGAACAAUUCACAAGGACAAGUGGAUUUUUCCAAAAUACUGUGUGCAACAACCAAGCAACCAUUUCCAGAAAAUAUCUGCCCUAGAGACACCACACACACACACACACACACACACACACACACACACACACACCAGAGACAUUCCAAAUUGCCAUAUAUUUAGGCCACAUUCCUUCAAAACAUGUUCUUAAAUCCAAAAUGGUCAACUCAGCCCUGACCAGGAAUUAAAAUAAACAAAUCCACCUUGACUUAUUCCUAGCUCAUGGAUAUGAAGAUGUUUGUGGUUUCUUCAUCGGACAUCUUACAGAAAAUAAGCUAGGGAUGGCUACCCUUAGUGAUCUCAAGAUUGCUAGGCACCAAAGAAGUACAUUAGAAUGUAUUUCAGUGUUAGACUCGAAAGUGUUACAUGUUCAGCUAUUUGUAGGUCAGAACAAGUGAAUGCGGUCAAGGUACUGAACUGGAAGCCAUAGCUACCAUAUAAUUUUCUGCAAGUGCAUUCUAGAAGGAAGGAGGAUUCCUGGAGAACAGCAACUCAACAGAUCCGACGAGAUGAGUCACUUCUCAUUCUGAGGAGGAAACUGAGGCAUAAGAGAAUCCAAGGCUCCCCUACCCCACAAGAAAUCUUAUGCCUGGCUGAAAACAUUGCAAAAUGUGACUCCAGCCUAAACAUAGGGUGGGAGUAACAUGGCACAGGAAAAAGGAAUUUUUUAAAAAAAAUUAUUAUUGCAGCAUGGGGGAAAAAUUUGAGAAAAUGGGAAUAUUUGCAUCCUAUGUUCCCGAACCUUCAGGAAAUAAUGACUCUAAUGCAUCUCACAGCAUUAUUUCAUGCAUUUGAAGUUUUACACACAGAAUAUAUCUGGAAGGAAAAAGAAAUAUGCAGUCAAAGGUCUAAUGGUCAGCAAACACCAAGACCUUAGAAUUCCUUUAGCUUCGGUAAAAGUGGGGAGUUGUGAUUCCGAGAGCAUAGUCUAAGCUGAAAGAGGCCUCCUUGAGUCUCUUGCUGUCCUGAUUCAGCCUCCUGGGUCAUACAAACUGUCAAACACCAUCAGCAGAGGACAAGCAUAGGGCCCUGAGAGACGCCUCCAAGGAGAGCUAAUUGGGAAUCGGGCACCCAGUGGGCUCCUGAGACUCAGAAAAGAAGGGAGCAUUUAACAGGACAGCAUGACACGGGGAGUGACUCAUUAAAGUCACAAAACUUGAAGGGGUAACAACACAAAUCCAGCAGCUGUGACAUUUUUAGUCAAAUUCUCUUGAGGGUUAAAAUUAAGUGAGGGUAAAACAAAAGAGAAGCUAUGGACAUCGUUUCCACCACAAGGAUAAACUGUCUCCUGGAGUCUAAGCCCUUCUGUCUAAACAAAGGAAAACAGAUUGAAAAAAAUGAAAUUUCAUAUCUUCCACUGCCAGCUUUCUGGUAUAGCUCUUUGCGUGGGAGCUCAAAAAUGAUCUUUCAAUUUUGAUUAAUUAUAAGCUACUGUUAUCAUUAAUUUGUAAUAUUCUGACACUCUGGCAAGUGGGAUUAUCAAAGCCUGCGGUUUCGACCUGUGUGUCAGGCAUCUUCUCUGACGGAGGGUCACUGCCUCUGGGAUGCACUUGGAAGUUGUAAAACUGGCCAGUGAGUGCGUUAAAGUUUUUAGAAAGCUUGGGUCAAAACAAAACAAAACAAAACAAAACAACAACAAAAGAACAAAAAACAUCAUGUAUUCGAUUACAUUUAAAUACUGUUGUUUUGUUUUUCUAGGACGUCAAAAUAUCUGCUUUCAGGAAGGCCAGAAGCAAACACUGAAUUAAAAGGGUUUUAAAGAAUUAUCAAUCAGGUCUCCUGACCAGAUAAACAUUUAAUAGGGAAAUGAAACAUGGAGUGAAUAUACACACUGAUGCUCAAUGCAAUAUUAGAAAAAUCAAAUGCAAGAGUAUGGUAUGAACGUCUGGUGCUAGGGAACCUUAGACUGGUCUGUGUGUGCGGCUUCACUGAGAUGAGCAUCCUUUGCUGCCUCACAGGGAGACACUGGUUUCCAGCAAAGAGUGAUGUCUGGGUGUCGUGCUGUCCCCAAGGCCUCCUUAGUACUUGUCUGGGUUUGAUUUGUCAAUGGCCAAGGGGCGGCAUGAGGAAAGCCCCUCGCCUUCUUGCAUAAAAGGUUUUGUUUGGAAAGCAGUAAGAAGGGACGCCAUCCCAGGACAGUUACCCAAGGCCACACGAGCAUCACACAUGCAACAUGAACAACUCUCAGAGAUCAGUAGUGACCAUGCGUGGUACACGAGAAAAUGCCUAUUGGCCCAUCAUUAGAAGGCUCCUCACUCUCCUGCGUGGCAUUCUGUCUCCACUGGCAUCCGGGUCUCCUCAGAAACCUGGUCGGUUUACUCCUUGCCGUGGCCCCUCCGUGGUCUCCCUGUGAAGAUGCCUCUCCUCCCAGGAACUGUUUCUGGUUGCCAGUGGAAGCUACUCUGUUAUUCUGCCUCCAGCUCAUACAGAGCCGCCUUAGAGCGCUGAUCCUUUCUCUUUUAAAGUCAGCCGCUUAUUUUUCUUAAACCAGCACCUCAAUCUGUCGGCUGUGCAAAUGGAUCCUCUCCUGCUAACAUUGACAUUCCGCGUUGACUCUGUCCGUUAGCACCUUGCCUCACUGAAGUUGGCUUAUAUUGGAGCCAGUCUUACUUGGGCGUCUGUUUUCUGGACACUCACUGCACCGCACUCCUGUCGGUGGGUGAGCGCGCAGCUGCUCCCGUGGAUUUCCCACGUGGGGACUGUGGUAGAUUCAACUCCAUUGGUGUUGGAUAUAGGUUGUGCAUUCUACCACUUGGCAUAGAGUUCAGAAUAUGCUGGGUUUUUCCACACAUGCUUUAAACAAACAAACAAACAAACGCACUAAGUAGGUGUACUACUGGGAAAUUAUAAAGAUGGCUAUGAAAUGCAAUGUUUGUGAUGCCCUAAGAGAUGACACAGAACAAAAAUUUAUAGAAAUCUCCUUGUAGCAUCAGUAGAAGUGUGGGAAACAUUGGUUAAAAAUGACAGCUGGCUUAUGGAUAAUUUUAUAUUGGAUUUUGUAUUAAUUUGUAAUGAGAUACUUUAUAUGAAUUCAGUACUUAGGCAGCUCAUGUGCUUUCUUAGAUAAUCUUUAGGAGGGAUUUAGUCCUGGCUUGUACUGAAUGGUAAUGUUCUAAUGCUCACAGAUUUCCCCAGAGCAUACAAAAGCCUUCAUUUCCUUGCUCUAUUUUGGACUGUAUAUUCAAAAUAAUGCUACAAUGCUAUGAUCCUCUAAAAUAUCUCAAUUGCAAGAGCACAAAAAAUGGCUUUCAUAUAAAAUGUGGAGUUCUACAAAGAGUAAAACAAAGACUUUUGUCACUUAAGUGAUAGUUAAGAACUGCAUUUUAAAGUCCAAUUAGACUACUAAUCAUAUCCCUACCACAGAAAGAGGAAAAGUGGAUGGGAACGGCAUGAUUAGAAUUAGGAGAUCCCAGGAAAGCCAAGGUAGGAAUCAGCUUCUAUCGUGGUGACCUUCAGAUAAUGACUGACACCUGCCCAUCUUUUCCUGCAUUAUCUUCAUCUGGUGAUCUGCUUGCGGCUGGGGAUGUUCAAGUGUUACUCAAUUUAAAGUGCUUGACUCAUUGGUUCCCUGAUGGUGGCACUGUUGUAGAACCCUGGGUGGGGGAAGUGAGUACUGAGGGUGGGUCUCCGGGUUAAAUAAACCCUCUCCACUUCCUGCCUGCUCUCUGAGGCCUCACUGUGGAAAGACACAGCCUGUGUCUUCUCUGCUGCAGUGGACUGCAGAUUCUUUAAACCGGAAAGAGUCAUGAUACAGCUGCUCAGGCUGCAGCAAGCCCUAGGGGUCAUCCUGCUUCCCCCACGCCAGUGCUGGAGUUAUGGGAAUAUUCUGCUCAUCCCGGUUUUUAUGCAUAUGUUUGAAAGAGUGUGAAGUUGAUCAUGGGAAGCCAUUGUCUUCAUGGGGAAGAUGCGAUUACAAAGCAUCCAUGGACUCUCAGAGCCACUACUGCAAAUUCACUGAGGAGUCUGGAGAUGAAGAGACUGCACCAUGGGUCCAGAACUGGUAGCAAAUGCCCCAAGUCUCUGACCAGUCAUGGCUUUCUCCUCCAGUGCGCUGGCCUUUCAUACCUCACAUGCUUGCCUUAGACUACAUCAGUUCCUUUUCUCUUAGAAUCCCUAUCACCAAUAAAUAAACAACUAUCCUGAAAAAAUAAAUGAGAUAUCAGCCUAA
Mesocricetus auratus (golden hamster) is the source of this 9317-nucleotide long non-coding RNA. RefSeq lists it as uncharacterized. The record is from RefSeq and is a predicted model, not a curated record. Lineage: Eukaryota; Metazoa; Chordata; Mammalia; Rodentia; Cricetidae. The transcript has 3 exons.